AUGAGUCUCCUUAGCUGGAACUGCCAGGGUUUGAGGCAACCCCGGACAGUUCAGGAACUAGUGUGCCUAGUGCACACAUACAAGCCCAAGCUUGUGUUCUUCUCUGAGACGCGGCAAAGCAAUUCCUUUGUCAAUAAGUUAAUGUGGAGGCUUGGCCUCAGGCAUUGUAUCACGCAACCCGGCAUAGGAAAAGGUGCCGGUAUUGCGCUCUUCUAUGAUGAAAGUGUGGAAGUAAUAAAGCUUGCCGUUGGCCCGAGGUACAUCGAUGUGUUAGUGCAUUUUCACUCUUCGAGUUUGCAGUGGCGUUGUACUUUUGUCUAUGGUGAACCGAAAGCAAGUGAUAGGCAUCUCAUGUGGGAAUUGCUGAGGAUAUCAAAUGCACCAUGGCUGAUGAUGGGGGAUUUUAAUGAAGCGAUGUGGCAACCGGAGCACUUCUCAGCUACAAAAAGACCGGAACGGCUCAUGGAAAAUUUUCGAAAGGCUUUAUCUGAUUGUAACCUGUUUGACCUUGGUUUUAAAGGCCCAAGUUGGACCUUUGACAACAAACAAGAGGGAUGGAGGAAUAUUAAAACCAGGCUGGACAGGGGGGUCGCCUCGCCGGAAUGGUCAGAUUACUUCGGAGAUGCUUCGAUUGAGCACAUCUGCUCUUCCAGAUCGGACCACUUGCCUGUGUUGCUGCGUGUAGGAAAAAGAGGAGUGGAGACCCAUAGGGGAAAGGAAGAGCAGGCAGUUCCGAUACGAGCAUAUGUGGGAGCGACUGGAUACCUUGCAGAACACCAUUAA
This 783-nucleotide ribosomal RNA is filed under the name Triticum aestivum (bread wheat). RNAcentral's name for it is "partial small subunit ribosomal RNA". The record is from RNAcentral. Lineage: Eukaryota; Viridiplantae; Streptophyta; Magnoliopsida; Poales; Poaceae.